AAGGGCAGCAAGCAUUAAACUGCUGAGCCAUCUCUCCAAACCGUCGGCCUUCUUGGUGUUCUUUGCUGGGGCAGGGAGGUAGCAGGGAGGAAGUGGAGAGAACUGGGAGAUUUGAGACGCUCCUUCUGAGCUUUAAGCUACGUGUAGAUAAUAUCUGCAUGUGUGGCACAAUUGAAGCAGCAGUGGCUUUCAGGCUAGUUACUGCAUGGACUAGUAAGGUAGCUCUCCUGCUCUCAGCACCGUGCAUCUGAUGCUCCGUUCUCAGGGACCACCUAACGUGGUUAACCGCCCUGGCUAACGGGGACACUGCUGACAAUACACGUGGCUGUUAGUUCCUGAUUUCUGCUUAAGUGUUUCAACAGCACACUGUGGGACAAGAGUAACAGGGCCAAAGGAACACAUCUUCAACAUGUACAUAAAUUCCACCAAGUGGUUGCAUGGAAAAGCAAAAAUAAAGGAGUUAGCUACACCUGAAAGCUUCUUCCUUAUGAACAAUACACUCAGAAGAGGAUCAGCUGCUGAUCACAAGUCUGACUCAGCCAUAUCUCAUCGCUACAGCCCUUGGUCACAAGAUGUCUGACUCUAUGUCACCAGCCUAACAGAAGAUCAAAUUGUGCUGCCAAAGCACAGAACACACCCAGCGUCUUGGAUUUCAUCUGUCUUGCAUUUCCUUAAAUAUCA
This 681-nucleotide long non-coding RNA is filed under the name Mus pahari (shrew mouse). Its description in RNAcentral is "lncRNA (MGP_PahariEiJ_G0005119.1)". Lineage: Eukaryota; Metazoa; Chordata; Mammalia; Rodentia; Muridae. The record is from RNAcentral.